AAAACAUGAUGAUGCUUGAGAAUGGAUUCACUUUCUGGGCUGAUGUCUUUGAGAUGCCACAAUUCUCUUGGCUGUCUGAUUUG
This is a small nucleolar RNA of Alosa alosa (allis shad), 83 nucleotides long. RefSeq annotates it as small nucleolar RNA SNORD53/SNORD92. The transcript has a single exon. NCBI's taxonomy places the organism in Eukaryota, Metazoa, Chordata, Actinopteri, Clupeiformes, Clupeidae. The record is from RefSeq and is a predicted model, not a curated record.